RNAcentral lists this long non-coding RNA (641 nucleotides) under Carica papaya (papaya). RNAcentral describes it as "long non-coding RNA (CPAP_LNC004178)". The record is from RNAcentral. Lineage: Eukaryota; Viridiplantae; Streptophyta; Magnoliopsida; Brassicales; Caricaceae.
AUAGGCUUGAUCAAACGGCCUGCAUGCCUCUAAUUAAAUGGUUCAUAUCAAUUCUCCCAUUAGGUGCGAUUGAACGGCCUUUGAACGGCCUUUGAUGUUCCACAUGUUCCUGCAUGGAUGGUCCAAAUUAAAGUUAAAAAGGUAUUUAAAUCUUGCUACCCGGUUCCCCAAAACCCUAGUCGCCAAGGCCACUAGAGAAGAAGAAGAAGGACGGCUGAAAAAUGAACUAAUCGUCAGAGAAAAGGAAGCCGACCACCGUCGCCGCCGCACUAGAGACCCAAAUCUGCACCGAUAAGUGAAAUUUUCUCCCGUUCAUUCUUUUUUUUAUCACCAAAAAAUCUAAGGGAAAGCCAUAAACGAAGGGCAGAGCUCGGCUGAGUUGCUAUACCCGAAACUAGAAAAACCCCUUCGAUGAGCCGGAAUCCUUUUUUUGUUCCCUUCUAUUCUCAACGCUAGGCUAUCUAACAUGUUUUCAGUGUAGGAAAACUGAAGUAAGGCCGCAACCGCGAGGAAGAAGUGCGCAAAGCCACUGCAAUGAAAAACUAGAACUGUUGGUAAUUUUCGUUUUUCCUUUUUUUUCUACCAACAGAGGUCACUUAAUCCCGAAUUACGUAGGUUCUCACCCAAAACCUGCCGAAAUU